Molecule: ribosomal RNA, 404 nt
Filed under: uncultured Chryseobacterium sp.
Lineage: Bacteria; Pseudomonadati; Bacteroidota; Flavobacteriia; Flavobacteriales; Weeksellaceae
Description: bacterial SSU rRNA
Rfam family: Bacterial small subunit ribosomal RNA
Source: RNAcentral
GAUGAACGCUAGCGGGAGGCCUAACACAUGCAAGCCGAGCGGUAGAGAUCUUCGGGAUCUUGAGAGCGGCGUACGGGUGCGGAACACGUGUGCAACCUGCCUUUAUCUGGGGGAUAGCCUUUCGAAAAGGAAGAUUAAUACCCCAUAAUAUACUGGAUGGCAUCAUUCGGUAUUGAAAACUCCGGUGGAUAGAGAUGGGCACGCGCAAGAUUAGAUAGUUGGUGAGGUAACGGCUCACCAAGUCUGCGAUCUUUAGGGGGCCUGAGAGGGGUGAUCCCCCACACUGGUACUGAGACACGGACCAGACUCCUACGGGGAGGCAGCAGUGAGGAAUAUUGGACAAUGGGUGAGAGCCUGAUCCAGCCAUCCCGCGUGAAGGACGACGGCCCUAUGGGUUGUAAACU